GCGCCUGCAGCCCAACGGCAGAGGCAGCGGUUCGAGAAGCCGCGCGGUGUCCGUUCGAGUCGGACCUGGCGCACCA
Molecule: transfer RNA, 76 nt
Filed under: Xanthobacteraceae bacterium
Lineage: Bacteria; Pseudomonadati; Pseudomonadota; Alphaproteobacteria; Hyphomicrobiales; Xanthobacteraceae
Description: tRNA-Leu
Source: RNAcentral